GCCACUGCUAUUGGGGUUCGGCUAAGCCAUGCGAGUGGAGGGCGUCCCGCAAGGGAUGGCCCCGCAGACGGCUCAGUAACACGUCGUCAACCCACCUUAGGGUGGGGGACAACCUCGGGGAAACUGAGGAUAAUCCCCCAUAGGCGGGGGAGGCUGGGAAUGCGCCCCCGCCGGAAGCUCAGGUGCCCUAGGACGGGACGGCGGCCUAUCAGGGUAGU
This 218-nucleotide ribosomal RNA is filed under the name uncultured archaeon. Its description in RNAcentral is "partial 16S ribosomal RNA". It matches the Rfam family "Archaeal small subunit ribosomal RNA", at positions 23 to 234 of the family's 1478-position model. The record is from RNAcentral.